CUCAGGAUGAACGCUAGCGACAGGCCUAACACAUGCAAGUCGAGGGGCAGCACAAGUAGCAAUACUUGCCGGCGACCGGCGCAAGGGUGCGUAACGCGUGAGCAACAUGCCCGUAUCAGGGGGAUAAUCCAUGGAAACGUGGUCUAAUACCCCAUAGUAAUUAUGUAAGGCAUCUUAUAUAAUUUAAAGCUUUGGUGGAUACGGAUUGGCUCGCGUGACAUUAGCUGGAUGGUAAGGUAACGGCUUACCAUGGCUACGAUGUCUAGGGGUUCUGAGAGGAAGGUCCCCCACACUGGAACUGAGACACGGUCCAGACUCCUACGGGAGGCAGCAGUGAGGAAUAUUGGACAAUGGAUGGAAAUCUGAUCCAGCCAUGCCGCGUGCCAGGAAGACGGCCCUAUGGGUUGUAAACUGCUUUUGUAUGGGAGCAAUAAGGGCUACGUGUAGUCCGAUGAGAGUACCAUACGAAUAAGCACCGGCUAACUCCGUGCCAGCCGCCGC
This 501-nucleotide ribosomal RNA is filed under the name uncultured bacterium. RNAcentral describes it as "bacterial SSU rRNA". It matches the Rfam family "Bacterial small subunit ribosomal RNA", at positions 23 to 518 of the family's 1533-position model. The record is from RNAcentral.